UGAGGAAUAUUGCACAAUGGGCGAAAGCCUGAUGCAGCGACGCCGCGUGGAGGAUGAAGGUUUUCGGAUUGUAAACUCCUGUUAAGUGGGAAAAAAGACCGGUUAUGAAUAAGAAUCGGGGAUGAUGGUACCACUAAAGAAAGCACCGGCUAACUUCGUGCCAGCAGCCGCGGUAAUACGAGGGGUGCAAACGUUAUUCGGAAUCAUUGGGCGUAAAGGGUGCGUAGAUGGCACAUUAAGUCAAUUAUUAAAUCUUUUGGCCUAACCAAAAGCUUGUGGUUGAGACUGUUGUGCUAGAGGGUGGAAGAGAGAAGUGGAAUUCUCGGAGUAGCGGUAAAAUGCGUAGAUCUCGAGAGGAACACCGAUGGCGAAGGCAGCUUCUUGGUCCACACCUGACAUUGAGGCACGAAAGCGUGGGGAGCAAACA
This 427-nucleotide ribosomal RNA is filed under the name uncultured bacterium. RNAcentral's name for it is "bacterial SSU rRNA". It matches the Rfam family "Bacterial small subunit ribosomal RNA", at positions 355 to 774 of the family's 1533-position model. The record is from RNAcentral.